RNAcentral lists this long non-coding RNA (3513 nucleotides) under Triticum aestivum (bread wheat). RNAcentral's name for it is "long non-coding RNA (TAES_LNC007096)". The record is from RNAcentral. Lineage: Eukaryota; Viridiplantae; Streptophyta; Magnoliopsida; Poales; Poaceae.
UGAUAUUCUGAGAUUUUCAAGCAAAACUUCUAGGACUGUAAAGUGACAAUUGACAACAUGGCAAUCAACACAAUGGUUCAGAUGCCCUAUGGUCAAGAGACACUCGCACCAUAAAAUUGCAAUACUGGUGAGCUGUGAAAAUUAAUUUUCUCGGCUUGGUCAAGAGCCCUAUGGUCACGCAAGCCACACGAUGAUGUCCCUUCUUGAACCGCCAUUCCAAGAAACUGAGACUGGGGAACAAUCAGCACCCACAGCAACUGCAAACACCACCCUCUGUUAUUAAGCUGGUAAAGCUCUACUCGCCUCAAACACAAACUUCUCCAUUCAAACCACAGAAUGCACAUGGCUAAUGUGGAAAAUCAACAAAACCCCAAUCUGCUACUAUUAAUUAUUGCCGAGGUGUAGAAACAUAGUUACAAUGAGAUUGUUGAUGAUUACGGUGGAGAACAACUUCGUCAUGACCUUGUGGGAGGGGCAGUGGCAAUGUAGACGAAGCUGCGGCCGCUAGUGCGCAUGAACUCGGAGCCGGUGACGCGGCCGAUGGAGCCGAACACGACCUCCAGAUCGACCGCGGACAUGCUCUCCGCCAGACCGACGACGUCCAACGACAUGGACUAUCUGCAAAAGAAUUGAAAUGCAACAGUCAUAUGCAAAUAUAUUAGAUAAAAGACGACUGAGUUUUCCCAAUUAACAUUUGCACCACGUCAUAUGAAGCAUUGUGGUAUGAUCUAGCACCAAAUUUUGGAUUUCAAAAAAAGUUCGUGAAGAUGAACCUCAAGGACCAAAAGAUCGGCAUGGGCCCUCCACUGAUAUGUGCACUCUGUAAGGCGGUGUGUGCAGAGAAUGUGUAACCUUAGAGCUGCUGAGGCGGGAGGCACCGCAGUCCAUCCGCGUCCACAAUAUAGGCCUUACUUCUACUCCAGCGCGAGCUCCAGUACGCAGGUGUGAGCAUGCCAAAGUAGGCUGAAAUUCCCAAUCCAAGAGCGCGAGGCCAUGGUCGCACUCUAGCGACCCCUCACCACUCUUCCUGCCCUCUCUCUUGUUCUCGUUGCCUCUUCCUCCUUGUUUCCUUCUCCCAAUCCUCCUGCACUCUGUUGUAGGUGUAGUACCCUCUACUCUAUUUCUCCCCUCCUCCCUGUCGUUCUCUACCCUGUUCCCAAUCCUCCCGUACUCUGUUGUAGGUGCAGUACUCUCUACUCUGUUUCUCACCUCCUCCUACCCGUCGUGCUCUACCCUGUCGCUAGUACAGUGUUUUGUUUCUCUUCUCAACAAAUCUUCUCUGCUCUUUAAUGAACAUACAUGAACCAACUGGUUAAACGUGGUCAAUCAUGUAUUGUCUUAAAAAAUAAUUGUAAGAUCAGAAAAUAACACAUAUGGCUUUGCAGAUUUGCACUCGGCAAGGUUCCAAAGCAGUAUACAAUAGUCAAGAUUGCAAUGAUUUAUCUCUCCAGCACAUGAACCCUCGAAUAUAAAUUACAUAUUGUUCAAAUGAAGUGCAUGGUGGAAGACUCGUUAUGGGGCUGUGUUAGUAUGGCUCCAGUGCCCAGAAAUCAUAUGCACUAAGCUUCAGAAACCAAAGUAGCAAGUUUGCUACAGAGUUGUGUCAUUCGUAUCAAGACUUGGUUCACAUCUCAUUCAUUAUGGGGUUGUGUCAGUAACUCAAUAUGACUUCAGUACCCAGCUUAUCUUGGUAUUUGUUAUUAAUAAGGACAUGGUAUUGUUGCUCUUGAGUUAAUCAAUUCAUUCUUUUUUGAGAACCGAGUUAAUCAAUUCAGAUUGGCAAAUACUUGCAUCUCUUAUUGUGCACAAAAUAUAUUAUUUUCAGCUCUUAAUUUCAGUUUCAUAUCAGACGUGUGCACCUAAACACCUAAACACUUAGCAAGUCAGAUAUAAAGAAACAGUUGGGUGGUUCAAUCACUGAAUAAUCCUCUAUCCUUCGAUAACUACCAGAAAUUCAGAGCAGUUCGUCGGUAGCUAUACAUUGAUAUGCAUAUGAGAAAUCGCGUUCCCAAUCUCUCUCCCGUAGACAUCAUCAGCAACAAUCAGGAGCAGUAGCAUCUCCUCUGUCUCAAAUUUUGUCAUCCCAAAAAGUUCCCGUCAUCUUCUCCCCGCCCCCGGUCGAUGGCCACUACACUUAUUACUUCCCCAUGAUUGUCAGCCCGCACCUCCAGGCAAGAUGAUAGGUCUGCAGGGGCAAGACAACACCUCCACGAUGGAAGUACCAUACAUUUCAUGAAGAGAUACCCUUUGUUCAUUGUCCCUGGACAACUCUGUUGUGGACCAUCUAUUUCUUUUUUUUUGCAUCUUCAAUGUAUAGCAAAGAUUAAUAAGUGAUGCAGAAUUUACCCUCAUGGUAGCAUAAAGCUUGUACUUGCCAUGGUUCCUCGAUUAGCACUUGAAAUAAAAGCAAAAACUAAUCAAAAAGCCACUCUGGUGAACAAACUUGAAUCUUGGGACUAUCCCUUUUCAUUGUACAAGCACUACCGAAAACCAUAUUUUUAUUAUUGAUUGAAAAUUCUUGUAAUACAGUCUUCAUUGAAUGCAGUUAUCAUGGGUCAUGGCUCUACUUUUGGCAGAUUACCGGUUCCUUCUACAAGAUAGCUAUACAACUUCAUAGGUCACCAAAUAAUACCAAUCAGGCUAAUUAGUGUAGAAAACUACAUCAAAUUUUUCUGAAGAGAACUGGACCCAAGUACACCAUAUAGGAAAUCAAAGGUAAACUCUAUAUGAACAGCAACAACCGAUGGAACAACUGCCAUCUAAUUCAGCCACACACCACUUGGCAAAGACCUCGAAUAAAAGCAUGCUAGAAACCAACAUAUAAUUGAAAGUGAAAUGCAAAUGUAUUGAAACUAUACGUACCAAAUUUUAUGUACAUUUAUUAUCUAGACAUAUCUUUCUAGCUUCUACAAGAAAUAAUAAGUUAGCCUAAGAAUACUGCACCAUGACCAAAUCUUCUCGGAAUCAUUUUUAUUUCCAACUAUUAAGUUACUUUCCUCUUGCAUGGAUGAACACAAAUAUUACCUAGCAUGCAUAGGCACACGCAUGGCCUGCGGCCACAGUGUAUCCCUAUAGGCGACACGCAUCACAACUAACCCAACACAACAAGACAAAUCCUGCAAUGAGCCGACAAUCUAAUGGAGAAUCAGAGAAUAUAAUACCCCAAGAUCUUACCUGACAUAUUAGAGGCCACUACCGAACCAACAUGAUCCAAGGCAACAUGAAAACCAUCAUCCUCAGCGCUCCUUUAUUUUGCAUGACAGAAUUUGAUACAUCACCAGGCGUCUCUGCAAACAAAACAAGACCAGAUCAAUAAAUCACAGCACAUGCCUGCAAAAUUCCGAACAAGCAAAUCUAGUUCAAACAGAAAAGAAUGAGGCGCUUGGGCAGAGAGGAGAUGGUUUCAUGGCCUCUGCCUCGUCCCUUCCCACCUCAUCCCCGAUCUCGAUCCCACCAUGGUGCUGCAGUGGGCUGGGGUAGCACGACAAAGUGGGGGGAGGGGGGAUAGCGCGA